GCCGGGGUGGUGAAACUGGCAUCCACAGGGGACUUAAAAUCCCCCGGGGGAGACCCCAUGCGGGUUCGAAUCCCGCCCCCGGCA
Molecule: transfer RNA, 84 nt
Filed under: Gemmatimonadota bacterium
Lineage: Bacteria; Pseudomonadati; Gemmatimonadota
Description: Gemmatimonadetes bacterium (soil metagenome) tRNA-Leu
Rfam family: tRNA
About the family: Transfer RNA (tRNA) molecules are approximately 80 nucleotides in length. Their secondary structure includes four short double-helical elements and three loops (D, anti-codon, and T loops).
Source: RNAcentral